RNAcentral lists this ribosomal RNA (318 nucleotides) under uncultured bacterium. RNAcentral describes it as "bacterial SSU rRNA". It matches the Rfam family "Bacterial small subunit ribosomal RNA", at positions 28 to 334 of the family's 1533-position model. The record is from RNAcentral.
GACGAACGCUGGCGGCGUGCCUAAUACAUGCAAGUAGAACGCUGAGGACUGGUGCUUGCACUGGUCUAAGGAGUUGCGAACGGGUGAGUAACGCGUAGGUAACCUACCUCAUAGCGGGGGAUAACAUUUGGAAACAGAUGCUAAUACCGCAUAACAACAAAAGCCACAUGGCUUUUGUUUGAAAGAUGGCUUUGGCUAUCACUCUGGGAUGGACCUGCGGUGCAUUAGCUAGUUGGUAAGGUAACGGCUUACCAAGGCGAUGAUGCAUAGCCGAGUUGAGAGACUGAUCGGCCACAAUGGAACUGAGACACGGUCCAU